GCCCUCCAAAAAAAUACCCCUAAACCCUAGAAGCCAGCAGUCCCCCGAGCCUCUGCGUCUCUGUUUCUCGAAAUGGCUUGGCGUGGGUCGAUCUCCAGGUCGGUGCUCACCGCAGGGCGGUCGGCCUCCUCCCCACUCCAUUCCCCGCCGGCGGCCCCCCGCCUUCAUCCUCCGCCGCUCGCCGCCCCUCGUCUCCAGCGCCGCCGCCUCUCCUUCGCCCCUGCCAGGACUUUGGGAGAGCUGGGGUGCGUCCAGUCUCUCCUCCCGCUCCACAGUGUGGUCGCCGUGCCCCGCCUCACCUCGCACCUUUCCGUCAGCGCCAGAGCGUGCUGUGAGCUCUCUCAGGGUACCUUUCGUCGCACUUGUCAAGAUCGCUAGUUAUCUCCUUUCUUUGGAAAAAUGGAAAAGAUGGUUGAUGCACGAGACAGGCUGGCAUUCGGUGGGAAGCUUUGAUUUCUAAGUUGAUGGAGGAAUGGUAAAGAUGGGUGAUGCAAGAGAGAUGACAAGAUUCAGUGAAAGCAGGAGGAUGGUGAUGUUGUUUCAGCCACUGUAGGUUUUCUCUUUCCUAACGGUUAUUCCAAAAGUACUUGAAGGCAGUAGGAUUGAUGAUAAGCUUGUUAAAAGCAUUUGGAGAAGUUAUUAUAGGGGUGUUUUGGAAACCUUUGAGCUAUGUCAUUUAGCUGCAGGAGUAGGACAAACCUAUUAAUGAUUUUGCUUGUUUUGAUAAACUUUGAAAUUUCCCAUUUCUUGUGUUUGAAUUACUAUAAUUUUUUGUAAAAGACUGCAGAUAAAAUCGCAUUGAUGUUUAUCAUGCUGUUGGGAUUCUCAAUGCAUAGUCUUGGAUUCUGUCUG
Non-coding RNA from Elaeis guineensis (African oil palm), 852 nucleotides. The record is from RefSeq and is a predicted model, not a curated record. Lineage: Eukaryota; Viridiplantae; Streptophyta; Magnoliopsida; Arecales; Arecaceae.